Molecule: long non-coding RNA, 208 nt
Organism: Gordionus sp. m RMFG-2023
Lineage: Eukaryota; Metazoa; Nematomorpha; Gordioida; Chordodea; Parachordodidae
Exons: 3
Source: RefSeq, a predicted model, not a curated record
AUGGGAUAAAGCAACAAUUUUGGAUCUAAAUACCGCAGAUUGUCAACGUUAAAAUAAACACCGCCUGAAAAGCAAUUUCCCAAGCUGAAUUCUCCAAAAAGAACAAAUGUAGAGAAACCUACCGCAACGAAGGACAUUAUAUCACUCUAAAUGUUUUGACUUGUGUGAUGAUCUUCAUUUUAUCUUUAAUCAUGAUUUUCUUUUUCUU